GACGAACGCUGGCGGCGUGCUUAACACAUGCAAGUCGAACGAAGUGGCGAACGGGUGAGUAACGCGUAAUCAACCUGCCCUUCAGAGGGGGAUAACAGUUGGAAACGACUGCUCAUACCGCAUACUGCGUGAGGGGAUUGCGUCUGAUUAGCUAGUUGGAGGGGUAACGGCCGACCAAGGAGAGGAUCAGUAGCCGGUCUGAGAGUAUUAACGCCCACAUUGGGACUGAGACACGGCCCCGACUCCUACGGGGGGCAACAGUGGGGACUCUUCCGCGAUGGACGAAAGUCUGACGGAGCAACGCCGCGUGAGUGAUGACGGCCUUCGGGUUGUAAAGCUCUGUUAAUCGGGACGCGGUACCGGAAUAGAAAGCCACGGCUAACUACGUGCCAGCAGCCGCGGUAAUAC
RNAcentral lists this ribosomal RNA (408 nucleotides) under uncultured bacterium. Its description in RNAcentral is "partial 16S ribosomal RNA". It matches the Rfam family "Bacterial small subunit ribosomal RNA", at positions 28 to 526 of the family's 1533-position model. The record is from RNAcentral.